AGUGAACGCUGGCGGUAGGCCUAACACAUGCAAGUCGAACGGCAGCACAGUAAGAGCUUGCUCUUACGGGUGGCGAGUGGCGGACGGGUGAGGAAUACAUCGGAAUCUACUUUUUCGUGGGGGAUAACGUAGGGAAACUUACGCUAUACCGCAUACGACCUACGGGGGAAAGCAGGGGAUCUUCGGACCUUGCGCGAUUGAAUGAGCCGAUGUCGGAUUAGCUAGUUGGCGGGGUAAAGGCCCACCAAGGCGACGAUCCGUAGCUGGCCUGAGAGGAUGAUCAGCCACACUGGAACUGAGACACGGUCCAGACUCCUACGGGAGGCAGCAGUGGGGAAUAUUGGACAAUGGGCGCAAGCCUGAUCCAGCCAUACCGCGUGGGUGAAGAAGGCCUUCGGGUUGUAAAGCCCUUUUGUUGGGAAAGAAAAGCAGCAGGUUAAUACCCCGCUGUUCUGACGGUACCCAAAGAAUAAGCACCGGCUAACUUCGUG
RNAcentral lists this ribosomal RNA (491 nucleotides) under uncultured bacterium. RNAcentral describes it as "partial 16S ribosomal RNA". It matches the Rfam family "Bacterial small subunit ribosomal RNA", at positions 29 to 507 of the family's 1533-position model. The record is from RNAcentral.